GAUGAAGAACGCAGCGAAAUGCGAUACGUAAUGUGAAUUGCAGAAUUCAGUGAAUCAUCGAAUCUUUGAACGCAUAUUGCGCUCUCUGGUAUUCCGGAGAGCAUGCUUGUUUGAGUAUCAGUAAACACCUCAACUUCCAUAUCUUUUUUGAAAUGGGAGUUGGACUUGAGUGAUCCCAACGCUUUUCCUCACCGAAAAGUGGCGGGUUACUUGAAAUGCAGGUGCAGCUGGACUUUUCUCUGAGCUAUAAGCAUAUCUAUUUAGUCUGCCUAAAAAACAGAUUAUUACCUUUGCUGCAGCUAACAUAAAGGAGAUUAGUUCUUGUGCUGACUGAUGCAGGAUUCACAAAGACGGCUUCGGCCGACUUUGUAAACUCGAUCUCAAAUCAAGCAAGACUACCCGCUGAACUUAAGCAUAUCAAUAAGCGGAGGA
RNAcentral lists this unclassified non-coding RNA (432 nucleotides) under soil metagenome. RNAcentral's name for it is "partial contains 5.8S ribosomal RNA, internal transcribed spacer 2, and large subunit ribosomal RNA". The stretch from base 1 to 120 matches the Rfam family "5.8S ribosomal RNA", at positions 35 to 154 of the family's 154-position model. The record is from RNAcentral.